UGACAGUCAUCCGCUUGCAAACAUAUGUUCGAUCUUCACCGGUUGGCUAUGUGAGUAAGCACUUUACCUUGAGAAAAACAGAGUGUUCCAGGCAGGUUUGUCCGGGAUGCAUUAGCAUGGAAUAAUAGAACAUGACUGAAGUCGAUUUAUUGGUUUAAGGCUUUAGUAAUGAUUAAUAGGAACAGUCGGGGGCAUUCGUACUCAGCAGUCAGAGGUGAAAUUCUAAGAUUUGCUGAAGACGAACUAAUGCGAAAGCAUUUGCCAAGGAUGUUUUCAUUAAUCAAGAACGAAAGUUAGGGGAUCAAAGACGAUCAGAUACCGUCCUAGUCUUAACUAUAAACUAUGCCGACUCGGAUUCAGAUGAAUCAAAAUGUUCAUUUGGGACCGUAGGAGAAAUCAAAGUC
RNAcentral lists this ribosomal RNA (404 nucleotides) under uncultured eukaryote. RNAcentral's name for it is "SSU rRNA". It matches the Rfam family "Eukaryotic small subunit ribosomal RNA", at positions 689 to 1105 of the family's 1831-position model. The record is from RNAcentral.